This 280-nucleotide long non-coding RNA is filed under the name Mytilus galloprovincialis (Mediterranean mussel). The record is from RNAcentral. Lineage: Eukaryota; Metazoa; Mollusca; Bivalvia; Mytilida; Mytilidae.
GGGGGUUAAUUCUCAACGGCAUAGUGUAUAGCACCAAAAAAAAAGGAGGGGGGGGGGGGGUCAAUUCUCAUCAGCAUAUUGUAUUACACAAUAGCAAAAAAAUUAACAUUAUUCAAAUCAUAUAACCAAUUCUAAGUUCUUUGACUACAGUUAUUCUGUGUCAAAUCCCAAUAUAGACCUGUAUCAAGCGCGAAUAUUGUGCCCAUUUUUACCCCAACUGUUCAGACUUAGACCUCUGCAGUCGUAUCCAGCUGCGCUAAGCAAAGCAAUUUAUUGGGGC